Molecule: long non-coding RNA, 2744 nt
Filed under: Olea europaea subsp. europaea
Lineage: Eukaryota; Viridiplantae; Streptophyta; Magnoliopsida; Lamiales; Oleaceae
Source: RNAcentral
CUAGAAAAUUUUGGCCUAUCAAACGGACCCUUACUGUAAAAGUAAAUUUGGUAGGUUGAAUUGAACAUAAUCAAAUAUGUAUAAUGUUUUCUCCUGCAUACUAAACAUGUCACGAAACUAAUAAUUCUAGUUGAUGUACUCAAGGAAAGAUGGUCACUAGUUGUCUAUAUGCAUUUCAUUUGAGCACUCAUGGAGGGGGUUAAAAGGGAUGGAUUUCUGUUCACUGGACCAUACUCACAUGUGAACAGCAAGUUAGAUUUGUUGAGUCAUGUCUCAAUUCGUGGCUCAAAUUUAUACCAAUCCUCUUUUGAUUUUCACAUGGAGCUAUUCUAUUGGCCAGUAUUACUUCAUAGGGUGGGUUCAGCUGACUCAUCAUUCCCUUUCAAUUUCAUGCUAGAGUAAUAUGAUUCAUGAAUUAAUGGAUUCAAGUGCAGCCACGUCCUGCAGUUCAAAGUCCUCGUACACACACACACACACACACACACACACAUAUGUGUGUGUGUGUGUAGCCACGUCCUGCAGUUCAAAGUCCUCGUAUAUAUGUGUGUGUGUGAAAUUACAAAAAGGACUUUUCCAGGGCUGUUGUACUAAUGUUCCAGCCAUUUAUUUACUUGACGGUGACCACAUGCAGCAUAUCCUCGAGCCUGGUUCAGAAGGAUCAAGUUUUUUACAUGUAAUUUUUUUGUAUAAUACUAAUCUUUGAGCCUCGAAAAGAAGAUCAUAAAAAUUCCAUUUCCUUUGUGCACAGUUAGAAGUCUAAUUGUCCACCCGGCGAUGACUAACCUGGAGAAAAAAGGUCAAUGAUUCUUAAAAUUGUUCCCAUAUUAGGAGAAGCCAAACCUUGCACACAAGCAGGGACACUCUUAAAAGCCAGUAACUGUCAAUGUUGAUGCCAUUGCAAUAUGACAACUUGGAUGCUCUCGAACCUGAACGUUGAUGUUUUUGAAAGGAAUCAGUAGUCUCCGGUCCCACUCAAGCCCUACCAAGACUUCUGCCUACCACAAAAUUAUCAAACUACUUUUCAUGCUCACUAUUAUACUGCCACGUGUCGUCCCAUGAAUUCAGCCUGCAAUAUGAACCCCUCAAGUCCAGUGACCGGCCUCAAAAUGUUAUAGUGUGCUUCAAUAGGAAAACAGAGUAACCAAAAAGAAAUGUUAAAGGAAAAGAGUAGAGGAGUACAUGGUGGCAACACCAGCAGCCAUUGGGCCCGGAUUUGUGACACUUGCCAAUCAGCAGUCUGCACCAUGUAUUGCAGGGCUGACUCGGCGUACCUCUGCACUGGCUGCGACUCUCGCAUCCACAGAACCAGUCUUGAGGCCUCGCGCCAUCAGCGCAUGUGGGUGUGUGAGGCCUGUGAACGUGCUCCAGCAGCCUUCCUAAGUAAGGCUGAUGCUGCGUCCCUAUGUACAACCUGUGACUCGGACAUCCACUCAGCCAACCCUUUGGCACGGCGCCAUCAACGUGCCCCAAUUUUGCCGAUUCCCGGAAUGCUCUAUGGUACUCCGUCAGCCACUUACCCCAGUGGAUUAGUAAUGGGGCCUACUGGGGUUGCAGCCAAGAUUGAGUUCUUGAUUCAAGACGAAGAUCAAACUAUACAUGAAGAAGAAGAUGAAGACGAGGCAGCUUCAUGGCUUUUGUUCAACCAUGUUAAGAAUAUUUGCAACCAAAGUAACAACAUUGGACGGUUCUUUGGCGGAGAGGUUGACGAGUAUUUGGACCUUGACGAGUAUAAUUCAUAUCAGGACAACCAGUUCAGUAAUCAGGACAACAAUCAACUGCAACCUUACGAUGUUUCUCAAAAGAGCUAUGGCAGUGACAAUGUUGUGCCAAUCCAAAAGAGUAAGGAUCAGAUUUACAACCAUAGUUUUCAGUUGGGAAGGGAGUACGAGGCCUCGAAAAAUGUUUAUGAUAAUCCCGCUUCAAUUUCUCACACUGUAAGUUCUUCUUCACCUAGUGCAUACUUCAUACGUAGUAUUAAAGAAGACAAGACAAUAUAAUAAACUAGAUUUAGUUUCUGCGUGUCUUAGUGCUAUCCAGUCCUAUCCAUUCGUCAUUGUUUUCUUCAAUUACUCAGUGCAAGUUUUUUCAGCUAAAUGCACAAGUUUUUUCUUGGUGAUGAAAUCAGGUAUCAUUUUCAUCUUUAGAUGUUGGAGUUGUUCCAGAAUCCACAACUAGUGAGGUUUCGGUCUCCCACCCAAGACCUCCAAAGGGGACCAUUGAUCUCUUCUCUAGCCCUCCUAUCCCAAUGCCAACACAACUUUCUCCAACGGACAGAGAAGCCAGAGUGUUAAGGUACAGAGAGAAGAAGAAGGCGAGGAAGUUUGAGAAGACCAUCAGGUAUGCAUCAAGGAAGGCCUAUGCAGAAACCAGACCUAGGAUCAAAGGUCGAUUUGCAAAAAGAACAGAUGUAAGAGCCAACCAGAUGUUCUCAUCAACGCUAAUAGAAGAAGGUGGCUAUGGAAUCGUCCCAUCAUUCUGAUCUGAUCCCAGCAAGAAAAGGUUUAAGAGAAUUAAAAAACGAAUCAUCUCAAAUUUGUACCAAUCAUUUCAAAAGCCAUUACCAAUGAUUCUCUUAGUAAUUCCUGUUUAUAAUUUAGGUAUCAUCUUGUUCAAAUCUCUGCCUUGUUGUAAAUCCAUGUACUUGUGCACUUACACCGGUACCAAUCCUUUGUUUACAUUGUUUAAUGAACACAUGCAUAUAUGUAAAUUAUCGAUCCUUUUAGCCUAACUUCAAAUUUCGUUAA